This 2743-nucleotide ribosomal RNA is filed under the name Lactiplantibacillus plantarum. RNAcentral describes it as "23S ribosomal RNA". It matches the Rfam family "Bacterial large subunit ribosomal RNA". Lineage: Bacteria; Bacillati; Bacillota; Bacilli; Lactobacillales; Lactobacillaceae. The record is from RNAcentral.
GGAGGUAAACGCUGUGAACUGAAACAUCUCAUUAGCAGCAGGAAUAUAAAGAAAUUUCGAUUCCCUAAGUAGCGGCGAGCGAACGGGGAACAGCCCAAACCAAAGUGCUUGCACUUUGGGGUUGUAGGACUGAACAUUUGAGUUACCAAAGAACUUGAUAGUCGAAGGAUUUGGGAAAAUCCGCCAUAGAUGGUGAUAGCCCAGUAGAUUAAAUCAAAUUCUCUCAGUUCAGGAUCCUGAGUACGGCGGAACACGUGAAAUUCCGUCGGAAUCCGGGAGGACCAUCUCCCAAGGCUAAAUACUACCUAGUGACCGAUAGUGAACCAGUACCGUGAGGGAAAGGUGAAAAGCACCCCGGGAGGGGAGUGAAAUAGUUCCUGAAACCAUGUGCCUACAAUAAGUCAGAGCGCGUUAAUGCGUGAUGGCGUGCCUUUUGUAGAAUGAACCGGCGAGUUAUGAUCCCGUGCAAGGUUAAGACUAAAAAGUCGGAGCCGUAGCGAAAGCGAGUCUGAAAUGGGCGUUUUGAGUACGAGGUUAUAGACCCGAAACCAGGUGACCUAUCCAUGUCCAGGUUGAAGGUGCGGUAAAACGCACUGGAGGACCGAACCCGUGUAAGUUGAAAAUUGCUGGGAUGAGGUGUGGAUAGCGGUGAAAUUCCAAACGAACUUGGAGAUAGCUGGUUCUCUCCGAAAUAGCUUUAGGGCUAGCCUCGGAAUUAGGAUCAUGGAGGUAGAGCACUAUUUGGACUAGGGGCCCGUCUUGGGUUACUGAAUUCAGAUAAACUCCGAAUGCCAUUGAUUCAUAUCCGGGAGUCAGACGAUGAGUGAUAAGAUCCACCGUCGAAAGGGGAACAGCCCAGACCAUCAGUUAAGGUCCCUAAAUGUAUGCUAAGUGGAAAAGGAUGUGGAGUUGCAUAGACAACUAGGAUGUUGGCUCAGAAGCAGCCACCAUUUAAAGAGUGCGUAAUAGCUCACUAGUCGAGUGAUCCUGCGCCGAAAAUGUACCGGGGCUAAGCAUACUACCGAAACCAUGGAUGCGACCAUUAGGUCGCGUGAUAGGAGAGCGUUCUAAGGGCGGUGAAGCAAGAUCGUGAGGACUUGUGGAGCGCUUAGAAGUGAGAAUGCCGGUAUGAGUAGCGAAAGAUAGGUGAGAAUCCUAUCCACCGAAUGACUAAGGUUUCCUGGGGAAGGCUCGUCCUCCCAGGGUUAGUCGGGACCUAAGUCGAGGCCGAGAGGCGUAGACGAUGGAUAACAGGUUGAGAUUCCUGUACUAGUUAAGUGCGUUUGAGCAAUGGAGGGACGCAGGAGGCUAAGAUGUGCAUUCUGUUGGAUUAGAAUGUCCAAGCAGUAAGUCUUGUGAAGAGUCAAAUGCUUUUCACUUUAAGGACAAGCUGUGAUGGGGAGCGAAAUUUAGUAGCGAAGCGUCUGAUGUCACACUGCCGAGAAAAGCUUCUAGUGAGUACUUAACUACCCGUACCGCAAACCGACACAGGUAGUCGAGGAGAGAAUCCUAAGGUGAGCGAGUGAACUCUCGUUAAGGAACUCGGCAAAAUGACCCCGUAACUUCGGGAGAAGGGGUGCUGAUCGCAAGAUCAGCCGCAGUGAAUAGGCCCAGGCGACUGUUUAUCAAAAACACAGGUCUCUGCAAAAUCGUAAGAUGACGUAUAGGGGCUGACGCCUGCCCGGUGCUGGAAGGUUAAAAGGAUGGGUUAGCUUCGGCGAAGCUCAGAAUUGAAGCCCCAGUAAACGGCGGCCGUAACUAUAACGGUCCUAAGGUAGCGAAAUUCCUUGUCGGGUAAGUUCCGACCCGCACGAAAGGCGUAACGAUCUGGGCACUGUCUCAACGAGAGACUCGGUGAAAUUAUAUUGUCCGUGAAGAUGCGGACUACCCGCGACAGGACGGAAAGACCCCAUGGAGCUUUACUGUAGCUUGAUAUUGAGUGUUUGUACAGCUUGUACAGGAUAGGUAGGAGCCAUAGAAACCGGAACGCUAGUUUCGGUGGAGGCGUUGGUGGGAUACUACCCUCGCUGUAUGACCACUCUAACCCGCACCACUAAUCGUGGUGGGAGACAGUGUCAGGUGGGCAGUUUGACUGGGGCGGUCGCCUCCUAAAAAGUAACGGAGGCGCCCAAAGGUUCCCUCAGAAUGGUUGGAAAUCAUUCGCAGAGUGUAAAGGCACAAGGGAGCUUGACUGCGAGACAGACAGGUCGAGCAGGGACGAAAGUCGGGCUUAGUGAUCCGGUGGUACCGUAUGGAAGGGCCAUCGCUCAACGGAUAAAAGCUACCCUGGGGAUAACAGGCUUAUCUCCCCCAAGAGUCCACAUCGACGGGGAGGUUUGGCACCUCGAUGUCGGCUCAUCGCAUCCUGGGGCUGUAGUCGGUCCCAAGGGUUGGGCUGUUCGCCCAUUAAAGCGGUACGCGAGCUGGGUUCAGAACGUCGUGAGACAGUUCGGUCCCUAUCCGUCGCGGGCGUAGGAAAUUUGAGAGGACCUGUCCUUAGUACGAGAGGACCGGGAUGGACAUACCUCUGGUGUACCAGUUGUGCCGCCAGGCGCAUCGCUGGGUAGCUACGUAUGGAUGUGAUAAACGCUGAAAGCAUCUAAGUGUGAAACACACCUCGAGAUGAGAUUUCCCAUUCCUUUAUGGAAGUAAGACCCCUGAAAGAUGAUCAGGUAGAUAGGUUAGAAGUGGCAGUGCGGUGACGCAUGAAGCGGACUAAUACUAAUCGGUCGAGGACUUAACC